RNAcentral lists this ribosomal RNA (913 nucleotides) under Chloroflexota bacterium. RNAcentral's name for it is "bacterial SSU rRNA". It matches the Rfam family "Bacterial small subunit ribosomal RNA", at positions 1 to 931 of the family's 1533-position model. Lineage: Bacteria; Bacillati; Chloroflexota. The record is from RNAcentral.
CUUACGGAGAGUUUGAUCCUGGCUCAGGACAAACGCUGGCGGCGUGUAUUAGGCAUGCAAGUCGAGCGAGAAGCCGGCCUUCGGGCCGGUGGAGAGCGGCGGACGGGUGAGUAACACGUGGGUAACCUGCCCUGGAGUGGGGGAUAACCCGGCGAAAGCCGGGCUAAUACCGCAUACGACUCCCGAUGAGAGAUCGGGUAGUGAAAACUCCGGUGCUCCGGGAGGGGCCCGCGGCCGAUUAGCUAGUUGGUGAGGUAACGGCCCACCAAGGCGACGAUCGGUAGCUGGUCUGAGAGGAUGGUCAGCCACACGGGGACUGAGAACGGCCCCGACUCCUACGGGAGGCAGCAGCUAAGAAUCUUGCGCAAUGGGCGAAAGCCUGACGCAGCAACGCCGCGUGCGGGAGGAAGGCCUUCGGGUUGUAAACCGCUUUUGCGAGGGAAGAAGUACUGACGGUACCUCGCGAAUAAGUCACGGCUAACUACGUGCCAGCAGCCGCGGUAAUACGUAGGUGACAAGCGUUGUCCGGAUUUACUGGGCGUAAAGCGCCCGCAGGCGGCCUUGCAAGUUUCAGGUGAAAUCUCCCGGCUCAACCGGGAGGGGUCCUGGAAAACUGCCAGGCUUGAGGCAGGGAGGGGAAUGCGGAAUUUCCGGUGUAGCGGUGAAAUGCGUAGAUAUCGGAAGGAACACCAGCGGCGAAGGCGGCAUUCUGGCCCUGUCCUGACGCUCAGGGGCGAAAGCGUGGGGAGCGAACCGGAUUAGAUACCCGGGUAGUCCACGCUGUAAACGAUGAGUACUAGGUGUUGGGGGUAUCGACCCCCUCAGUGCCGAAGCUAACGCGAUAAGUACUCCGCCUGAGGACUACGGCCGCAAGGCUAAAACUCAAAGGAAUUGACGGGGGCCCGCACAAGCA